Molecule: ribosomal RNA, 2149 nt
Filed under: Eubacteriales Family XIII. Incertae Sedis bacterium
Lineage: Bacteria; Bacillati; Bacillota; Clostridia; Peptostreptococcales; Anaerovoracaceae
Description: 16S ribosomal RNA
Rfam family: Eukaryotic small subunit ribosomal RNA
Source: RNAcentral
AAAUGAAUCUGGUCGAUUCUGCCAGUAGUCAUAUGCUUGUCUCAAAGAUUAAGCCAUGCAUGUGUAAGUAUAAACAAAUUAUAUUGUGAAACUGCGAAUGGCUCAUUAAAUCAGUUAUAAUUUAAUUGAUAAUGACGUUUACUAUAUGGAUAGCCGUAGUAAUUCUAGAGCUAAUACAUGCGUAAAGGUCAAACUCUGGUAAGGGAAUGAUUGUAUUUAUUAGAUCGAAGACCAAAUGCCUUUGAAUAAAAGGGGAAUAAGGUGAAUCAUAAUAAGAAAGUCGAAUCAGUUAAUAAUUUUUUUUUAUAGGAAAAUGAAACGAUGUGUCAUUGAAAUUUCUGACCUAUCAACUUGUGAUGGUAGGAUAGAGGCCUAGGAUGGUUUUGACGGGUAACGGGGAAUUAGGGUUCGAUUCCGGAGAGGGAGCCUGAGAAACGGCUACCACUUCUAAGGAAGGCAGCAGGCGCGCAAAUUACCCAAUCCCAAUAAGAGUGGGGAGGUAGUGACAAAAAAUACUGAUUCUUUGCAUAAUAGUGUGAUGAAAUUGGAAUGGUUGGGAUAUAACAGAUCGUGAGAGAAACAAUUAGAGGGCAAGUCUGGUGCCAGCAGCCGCGGUAAUUCCAGCUCUAAUAGUGUAUACUAAAAUUGCUGCAGUUAAAAAGCUCGUAGUUGGAUUUGUGAUACUAGAUUUUUAUAUUAGUUUUAGUUAGAAUUCAUUUGAAGAAUGGAUUUUAAUGAUAAGAAAGUGAUAGAAAUGUAGAAUCAAAAUUUAUUUUCGAAGGGGUAUAUUAGACUUUGUUGUUGUAAUGUAUCUACUCGGAGAGUUUACUUUGAAGAAAAUGGAGUGUUCAAAGCAGGUAAAAAAGAAAUAAUGCAACUGAACAGAUUAGCAUGGAAUAAUAAAAUAGGACACGAAGUUUCUAAAUUAAUGUUAAAAGUGAGUUUGGAAAGGCUAUAAUCUUGGAAAAAGAAGAUAGUUUUUUAUUUUGUUGGUCGAAUAAGGAAGUGUAAUGAUUAAUAGGGACAGUUGGGGACAUUGGUAUUGCAUCGUCAGAGGUGAAAUUCUUGGAUUGAUGCAAGACGAACGAGUGCGAAAGCAUUUGUCAAGGAUGUUUUCAUUAAUCAAGAACGAAAGUUAGGGGAUCGAAGGCGAUCAGAAACCGCCCUAGUCUUAACUAUAAACUAUGCCAACUAGGGAUUUUCGGGUAUAAUUAAAAAAAAAAGGAAAUUAUUUAAUAAUCUUUAAUUUUUUUUUUCUUUUAUUUUUAUUAAUAAAAGAAAGGAAAAGGAUUUUAAAUGAUUUUUUUAUUUUUUUUAAGAAAAAGCUAGAUUUAAGUGAGGAAUAAUAACCUCAGUUAAAUUGCCUCGGGAGAACCAGUGGAGAAAUCAUAAGUCUUUGGGUUCUGGGGGGAGUAUGGUCACAAGGCUGAAACUUAAAGAAAUUGACGGAAGGGCACCACCAGGUGUGGAGCCUGCGGCUUAAUUUGACUCAACACGGGGAAACUUACCAGGUCCAGACAGCGGAAGGAUUGACAGAUUGAUAGUUUUUUCUUGAUUCGGUGGGUGGUGGUGCAUGGUCGUUCUUAGUUGGUGGAGCGAUUUGUCUGCUUAAUUGCGAUAACGAACGAGACCUCAACCUGCUAAAUAAGUUUUUCAUUAGUUAUAUGCUAGUGGUUUUAUUUAAAUAAACUGCUUAGAGGGACAAGCACUAUUGAAGUGGGGGAAGGAUGAGGCAAUAACAGGUCUGUGAUGCCCUUAGAUGUCCUGGGCCGCACGCGCGCUACACUGAUUAAAUCAACAAGGUGAGAUAUAAGAAAUCCUUUGGGAAGACUUUUCUCCUUAUCCGAAAGGAUUGGGUAAUCUUUUUAAUUUUAAUCGUGCUGGGGAUUGAUUUUUGUAAUUAUGGAUCAUGAACUAGGAAUACCUAGUAAGUGCAAUUCAUGAGAUUGCGCUGAUUACGUCCCUGCCCUUUGUACACACCGCCCGUCGCUCCUACCGAUUGAAUGAUCAGAUGAAAUGUUCGGAUUGUGUUUUGAAGCGAUUUAAAAAGUUUUUGAAUACAAGAAGAGGAGUGAAUCUUAUUAUUUAGAGGAAGGAGAAGUCGUAACAAGGUUUCCGUAGGUGAACCUGCGGAAGGAUCAUUUUUGAA